This 253-nucleotide ribosomal RNA is filed under the name uncultured bacterium. Its description in RNAcentral is "partial 16S ribosomal RNA". It matches the Rfam family "Bacterial small subunit ribosomal RNA", at positions 524 to 776 of the family's 1533-position model. The record is from RNAcentral.
UACGAAGGGGGCUAGCGUUGCUCGGAAUUACUGGGCGUAAAGGGCGCGUAGGCGGAUAGUUUAGUCAGAGGUAAAAGCCCAGGGCUCAACCUUGGAACUGCCUUUGAUACUGACUAUCUUGAGUACGGGAGAGGUGUGUGGAACUCCGAGUGUAGAGGUGAAAUUCGUAGAUAUUCGGAAGAACACCAGUGGCGAAGGCGACACACUGGCCCGUUACUGACGCUGAGGCGCGAAAGCGUGGGGAGCAAACAGG